GGAUGGGAGGGCGAUCUGGCUGCGACAUCUGUCACCCCAUUGAUCGCCAGGGUUGAUUCAGCUGAUCUGGCCGGUUAGGCGGGUGUGUCCUUCCUCCCUCACUGCUCCAUGUGCAUCCCUCCCGAAGCUGUGCGCUCGGGUCGAAGAGGACGGCCUUCCCUGAUAGAGGAGGAUCGUUCUUCGGUCAAGGGUAUACGAGUAGCUGCUCUCCCCUGCUAGAACCUCCAAACAAGCUCUCAAUGGCAAUAAGUACAUGCCUUUCAAUAAUUACUUGAAACACAAAUGGACUAAAUGUUC
This 297-nucleotide small nuclear RNA is filed under the name Panthera tigris altaica (Amur tiger). RNAcentral's name for it is "7SK RNA (ENSPTIG00000002474.1)". It matches the Rfam family "7SK RNA". Rfam says of the family: 7SK was discovered as an abundant small nuclear RNA in the mid-70s but a possible function has only recently been suggested. Two independent studies have found that 7SK RNA binds the CDK9/cyclin T complex (known as elongation factor P-TEFb). P-TEFb activates transcription by phosphorylating the C-terminal domain of RNA polymerase II. Lineage: Eukaryota; Metazoa; Chordata; Mammalia; Carnivora; Felidae. The record is from Rfam by way of RNAcentral.